ACUCAAAUGAAUUGACGGGGAUCAGCACAAGCGGUGGAUCGUGUUCUUUAAUUCGAUGAUAAACGAAGAACCUUACCAGGGUUUGACAUCCUUGGAAGCAGUGCGAAAGCACAGUGUGCCUUUUGGAACCAAGUGACAGGUGUUGCAUGGCCGUCGUCAGCUCGUGUCGUGAGAUGUUUGGUUAAGUCCAUCAACGAGCGCAACCCUUGCAAGUAGUUGUAUUUUUCUACUUGGACUGCUCUAGUAAUAGGGAGGAAGGAGGGGAUGAUGUCAGGUCAGUAUUACCCUUACAUCCUGGGCUAGAAACACGAUACAAUGGCAAGUACAAUGCGCAGCAAAGCCGCGAGGUGGAGCAAAUCGCAUCAAAGCUUGUCCCAGUUCGGAUAAGAGGCUGAAACUCGCCUCUUUGAAGCCGGAAUCGCUAGUAAUCGCAGGUCAGCAAACUGCGGUGAAUACGUCACUGAUCUUGUACACACCGCCCGU
Molecule: ribosomal RNA, 483 nt
Filed under: uncultured bacterium
Lineage: Bacteria
Description: partial 16S ribosomal RNA
Rfam family: Bacterial small subunit ribosomal RNA
Source: RNAcentral